Molecule: ribosomal RNA, 480 nt
Filed under: uncultured bacterium
Lineage: Bacteria
Description: bacterial SSU rRNA
Rfam family: Bacterial small subunit ribosomal RNA
Source: RNAcentral
GACGAACGCUGGCGGCGUGCUUAACACAUGCAAGUCGAACGGUGAAGUCCCAGCUUGCUGGGAUGGAUCAGUGGCGAACGGGUGAGUAACACGUGAGCAACCUGCCCUCCACUUCGGGAUAAGCCUUGGAAACGGGGUCUAAUACCGGAUAUGAGCCUGCAUCGCAUGGUGUGGGUUGGAAAGUUUUUCGGUGGGGGAUGGGCUCGCGGCCUAUCAGCUUGUUGGUGGGGUGAUGGCCUACCAAGGCGUCGACGGGUAGCCGGCCUGAGAGGGCGACCGGCCACACUGGGACUGAGACACGGCCCAGACUCCUACGGGAGGCAGCAGUGGGGAAUAUUGCACAAUGGGCGCAAGCCUGAUGCAGCGACGCCGCGUGAGGGAUGACGGCCUUCGGGUUGUAAACCUCUUUCAGCUGGGAAGAAAAUGACGGUACCAGCAGAAGAAGCCCCGGCUAACUACGUGCCAGCAGCCGCAGUAAAC